RNAcentral lists this long non-coding RNA (294 nucleotides) under Capsicum annuum. RNAcentral describes it as "long non-coding RNA (CANN_LNC022400)". The record is from RNAcentral. Lineage: Eukaryota; Viridiplantae; Streptophyta; Magnoliopsida; Solanales; Solanaceae.
UACUGAUCCUGCAAUCAACUGUUGAUUUGGAGCUCAUGCCUCUGAACCUAUGGUGUAACAUAAGAGAAAGCACCAUAGCGCAAAUGCGCCAGUACGUCUGAAUGUACUAAGUAUAUGAGUGAGGUAGGCUAAAUGCAAAGGGUUAUAUGCAUGAAAAAUACUGAUUGAUAUGGACAUGAGAGUACAUACAUGCAUACAUAACUGUUACUGAACUCGUGGAGAUACUGACUACUGAGUCUGAAUACUGACAACAUGAGUAUACUGAUAAUGAGAUUCUAAAAGACUGAGUUUACU